UCCCUGGUGGCUCAGACGGUAAAGUGUCUGUGUACAAUGCAGGAGACCCGGGUUCGAUCCCUGGGUUGGGAA
This 72-nucleotide transfer RNA is filed under the name Bos taurus (domestic cattle). It matches the Rfam family "tRNA". Rfam says of the family: Transfer RNA (tRNA) molecules are approximately 80 nucleotides in length. Their secondary structure includes four short double-helical elements and three loops (D, anti-codon, and T loops). Further hydrogen bonds mediate the characteristic L-shaped molecular structure. tRNAs have two regions of fundamental functional importance: the anti-codon, which is responsible for specific mRNA codon recognition, and the 3' end, to which the tRNAs corresponding amino acid is attached (by aminoacyl-tRNA synthetases). tRNAs cope with the degeneracy of the genetic code in two manners: having more than one tRNA (with a specific anti-codon) for a particular amino acid; and 'wobble' base-pairing, i.e. permitting non-standard base-pairing at the 3rd anti-codon position. Lineage: Eukaryota; Metazoa; Chordata; Mammalia; Artiodactyla; Bovidae. The record is from Rfam by way of RNAcentral. RNAcentral also lists the same sequence under 3 other names.